UACGAGGGGUGCAAGCGUUAUUCGGAAUUACUGGGCGUAAAGGGUGCGUAGAUGGUUUUUUAAGUCUUUUGUUAAAGACCCCGGCCUAACUGGGGAUAAGCGGAAGAUACUGAUAAACUAGAGGAUGGGAGAGAGGAGUGGAAUUCUCGGAGUAGCGGUUAAAUGCGUAGAUCUCGAGAGGAACACCGAUGGCGAAGGCAGCUCCUUGGCCCAUUCCUGACAUUCAAGCACGAAAGCGUGGGGAGCAAACAGG
RNAcentral lists this ribosomal RNA (253 nucleotides) under uncultured bacterium. RNAcentral's name for it is "partial 16S ribosomal RNA". It matches the Rfam family "Bacterial small subunit ribosomal RNA", at positions 524 to 776 of the family's 1533-position model. The record is from RNAcentral.